UCUCCGGAGUACGUGCUCGCCUAGUCACCUUUAUCUUUCCACCUGUGCACACACUGUAGUCCUGGAUACCUCUCGUCGAAAGGCGGAUGCAGGGUUUGCUGUGACUUUGCAAGAAGGCCGGCUCACUCUGAAUUUCCAGGUCUAUGAUCUUACACACCCCAAACUGAAUGUUACAGAAUGUUAUCAUCGGGCUUCGUGCCUAUAAAUUUAUACAACUUUCAGCAACGGAUCUCUUGGCUCUCGCAUCGAUGAAGAACGCAGCGAAAUGCGAUAAGUAAUGUGAAUUGCAGAAUUCAGUGAAUCAUCGAAUCUUUGAACGCACCUUGCGCUCCUUGGUAUUCCGAGGAGCAUGCCUGUUUGAGUGUCAUUAAUUUCUCAACCUCACCAGCUUUUGCUGAGUGUAGGCUUGGAUGUGGGGGUUGCAGGUCCGCUAACGUGGUCUGCUCCUCUGAAAUGUAUUAGUGGGUUGGGCCCCUAAUCUAUUGGUGUGAUAAUUAUCUACGCCGUGGAUUUGGGUGGCUGACUUAGACCCGCUUCUAACCGUCCUUCACCGGACAACUCUUGACA
Molecule: small RNA, 567 nt
Filed under: fungal sp. ture-3
Lineage: Eukaryota; Fungi
Description: eukaryotic LSU rRNA
Rfam family: 5.8S ribosomal RNA (bases 214-367)
Source: RNAcentral